This 2856-nucleotide unclassified non-coding RNA is filed under the name Leishmania donovani. RNAcentral's name for it is "gene:LdHU3.36.5900(CDS-product:hypothetical_prote in_conserved)". Lineage: Eukaryota; Euglenozoa; Kinetoplastea; Trypanosomatida; Trypanosomatidae. The record is from RNAcentral.
UGGCGAUUGCGUGGUGCCAAGCGCUGGUGCUUACUCUACCCUGUGAGUUUGCGAGAGUGUCGUGGGGGCCGACGCUGCAGUUUGAACCUGUGAGUCGCUGCGCUGCUUCAUCGCGAAGAUACGAAAGCGAGAAAGCGCGCGUUGAGGAGGUCUGCGCAGUUUCGUGUUUUUUUCUCUUUCUCUCACUCUAGGUCAUCUGACAAGAAAAGGGUCUAACAUAAGCGACUUUAGACUCCGAUGGUGCUGGCUGGUGAAUCUCGCACAGCCUCGGCGGCUGCGCAGAAGCCAGCUGCGGCUUCAACACUUUCUCCGUACCCGCCGCAUCCGGCUGGGGGCGUCGGCGCAAGCGCCAUGACAAAGAGCGCCACGCAGGCUUCCUCCACAGCUUCUCCGGCGGCGGCUAACGCGGCUUCAGCAAAGGAGGCGUCCAGCACGAUUGGUGAUCUUGCCGCCACGACGGCGCCGGUGGAGUGCUUGCUGCAGAUCGGCCAGCCGAGCUUCUCCACGCAGCUCGACUUCAUUAAGGUAAACCGCGCGGUGGCCUCUCUGGAGCGCGCGGUGGAGCGACUAGAGCUGCUCAGCCUUCUAGAUGCCGCCGGCCCCACCCCAGGUAUGGAGGGAAGCCACCAAAAUGCGAAUGGCACGAGAACUGCUUCGAGUGCGAUAGCUGUUGCUGCGGCGUCGACAGCUAGCUUUUAUCCGCACAACUCAUCGCGUGGACCCGCCGUGCUGGCGGGCGUCGCCCACGACGCGAGCGUCGCCACCGCGCAGAAGGUGGCGGAGGUGCUGGCAGUCACUCAGCAGCAGCGUGGCUGCGGACGCGCGUCGGUGCUCGAGUUGCUCGCGGAGCUGCGGGUGUUGGAGCGCCGCUACGGGGAGCUGUUAACCCAGGAUCAGCCAACCGUGCUCCUCCACCCUGGGGAACCGCAGCUGCAUCCCAAGUGCUUCGCACACGUUCGCGACCCCUCGAAGGCGGCUUUGCAACAGGAGCUAGCCUUGGUGUCUAACCGACUUCGAGAUACGAAUCGUCUCCUCUGUACACAGCUACAGGACAACCCUCAAGACGCGGACAACUGGGCCAAGGUGUGCAAUGGACGACGGGAGCUGACGGCGUUACUGAAAGAGGCGAUCAAAGAGCUGACCGUGGGAUACAAGGAAGCCCUGCAGACCCAGCAGCUCCGACAGCAGCAGCACCAGGCAAACGCUGUCCUCGACGGUGGUCUUCGGCAAAGCAUCGCCCAGACCGGCGUCGGCGAGGACGCUCACUUCGGUCAUGUGGCAUUCAACGGCGCUGGUGCCUUCGGGCUCGCCCGGAGCGACAGUAGGCCAUCUUCCACGGCCGGCGGUGGUGCCGUCUCCACCGAGAGCGGGUCGCGGGCCUCCGUCUUUCUCAAAUGCUUUGGCAGCAAUUUGCAGCGACCUCGCGUGUCGCGAGUGGUACAGCAGGGGCCGCGCAUCCCGCUCUCUUCGUCUUACCAGCAGUUCGCCGUGAAGAUUCUGCAGGAAGAGGCGUCGCAGCGCUGGGCGGAUGAUGUGCUGGCCAAGGAGCGCGCGCUAAAUCAAAACGUGAAGCAGCUGCAGGUGGACCUUGUGCGUGAGCGUGAGCUGAAGGACAAGGAGGUUGCGGAACGCCUCGCCCGCAUCUCGGCAUUGAAGGUAGAGCUGCGCAAGCUAAAAACUGCCUUGCAGCAGCGCAGUGAGGCAGCCAAGGCCUGCGGUGAAGCGGCCACUGAAAACCUUCAGCGUGAGGGCGCCGCUGAGGUGCGGGACGUGAGAAAAGCGAUACAGCAGGAUGAGCAGCUGCUCUCCAUCGGCGCCACGACGCACGAAGUGUUUAGCGCGUACCUACACGAACGCACUACCGCAAUGGACUCGUUGGCUGGCGAGUGGGAAGCCAAGACGCUCCAUGAGCUCAAGAAGAAGGAGGCAGCAAAAAUCGACGCGGAGGGGAGUCGCCAGGCGUGUGCGCAGCGUCUCACAGACCUCGAGCACGAGCGAGACGCUCAGCAGGAACUCAAGGGGCAGCGCGACUCUGCGCAAAAGGCAGAGGAGGACGCACGGAGGCGAGCUGAAGAGCAGCGGGACGCCGAGUACGCGGCAGCGUCGGUGCUGGAGGCCGCGCUUAAGGCCAUGAUGACGCGACAAACCAUCAGCAAGCUACAGAAGAGCUCCAAAAAGAAAAAGAAGAAGGCGGCAAGCUAAUCUGGAAUACGAGACUGCCCAUGCUAUCCACACGCGUCAUCCCUGUGCGCUUGUUUUCUUCUGUGAGUCUGCGUGUGCUGUGUAGAGCGUGUAUGCCACAGCUGCAGUAGCAGCGACAGCAUCCGCAGCAAGUGCCACUGAGCCACGGACACGUGACGAGCACAUCCAUGUAAAUAAGGUGGUUCUCUUGUUUUUCUUUUGCUUUCCUCUUGCAACGUAUGUACAUGCACCCCUCUGUCCUCUCCAUCGCUGUUUUUGUGUGUGUAUGUGUUGUUGCGGCCAUUGUGCUGGUGCUGCGCGCACCUACGACUGGUUAUCGGGGGGAUGGAGGGAGGGAGAGAGGUUUGCGGCAGAUACGUGUGUCUGUCCACCUUGGCCCUGCGUAGGUGCGUGUGUGUGUGUGUGUGUGUGUGUGUCUUGGCGUAUUGUCUGUGUCUGUUGACGAAUAUGCAGGCACAUAUGCACACAAGACGCCUCCCACAUACCAGCAGUACACACAGAGCGAGAGGUGGAUUGCUCUGCCCUUUUUUUUUUCGCGUGCGUCGUCGUCGUGCGCAGGCUAACGGGCACUGCAGCAAAGCGCGUGAGGCACGUAUAUCGGGCGCUUCCUCUUCGUCCCGCACUGAAGGCUGUACCGGAGGCGAGGGUGAGCAC